This 67-nucleotide transfer RNA is filed under the name Neotoma mexicana (Mexican woodrat). RNAcentral's name for it is "tRNA-Pro". It matches the Rfam family "tRNA". Rfam says of the family: Transfer RNA (tRNA) molecules are approximately 80 nucleotides in length. Their secondary structure includes four short double-helical elements and three loops (D, anti-codon, and T loops). The record is from RNAcentral. Lineage: Eukaryota; Metazoa; Chordata; Mammalia; Rodentia; Cricetidae.
CAGGAAGUAGUUUAUAGAGAAUGUCAGCUUUGGGUGCUGAUGGUGGGGGUUGAUCCUUCCUUCUUGA